CGGAGCCGAAGCGAAAGCGAGUCUUAAGAGGGCGAGAGUUGCAUGCAGUAGACCCGAAACCGGGUGAUCUAGCCAUGACCAGGUUGAAGUUGGGGUAAAACCCGAUGGAGGACCGAACCGACCCCCGUUGAAACGUUGGCGGAUGAGUUGUGGCUAGGGGUGAAAUUCCAAUCGAACCCGGAGAUAGCUGGUUCUCCCCGAAAUAGCUUUAGGGCUAGCGUCGAGGUAAGUUGCGUGAAGGUAGAGCACUGAAUAUGUGAUGGCCCCAUCUCGGGGUACUGAGCAUAAUCAAACUGCGAAUGUCACGCCAACAUGCUCGGCAGUCAGACAGCGGGUGAUAAGGUCCGUUGUCAAGAGGGAAACAGCCCAGACCAUCAGCUAAGGUCCCAAAAUGUAUGCUAAGUGGAAAAGGAUGUGGAGAUGUACAGACAACUAGGAGGUUGGCUCAGAAGCAGCCAUCCUUUAAAGAGUGCGUAACAGCUCACUAGUCGAAUGACUCUGCGCCGAUAAUUUACCGGGGCUAAGCAUACUACCGAAGCUAUGGAUCCCAAGGGAUGGUAGGGGAGCGUUCCAUGAACGGAGAAGUACGACCGAAAGGACGUGUGGAGAUCAUGGAAGAGAGAAUGCCGGUGUGAGUAGCGGAACGUGGGUGAGAAUCCCACGCACCGAAAACCCAAGGUUUCCAGAGGAAGGUUCGUCCGCUCUGGGUAAGUCGGGACCUAAGGCGAGGCCGAAAGGCGUAGUCGAUGGACAACAGGUAGAGAUUCCUGUACCCGUAUAUAUGUGAAGGAAUGACGGAGAGAGGAAGCUGCAGCCAGCGGCUGGAAGAGCUGGUGCAAGCGAGAUAUCGGGAUGGCAGGCAAAUCCACCAUCCGAAACGAGAAGGCGUGAAGCGUACGGAAAGCUACGGCGAGUACGGAAGGCAGUGGAGGAACUUCCAAGAAAAGUUUCUAACGUUAAGUAUAUAUGGCCCGUACCGAAAAUGGACACACAUGGGUGAGGAGAGAAUCCUAAGGUGAGCGAGAGAACUAUAGCUAAGGAACUCUGCAAAAUGACUCCGUAACUUAGGGAGAAGGAGUGCUCAUAGAGAUAUGAGCCGCAGUGAAACGGCCCAAGCGACUGUUUACCAAAAACACAGCUCUCUGCUAAGCCGCAAGGCGAAGUAUAGGGGGUGACGCCUGCCCGGUGCUGGAAGGUUAAGGGGAGGGGUUAACGCAAGUGAAGCCCUGAACUGAAGCCCCAGUAAACGGCGGCCGUAACUAUAACGGUCCUAAGGUAGCGAAAUUCCUUGUCAGGUAAGUUCUGACCCGCACGAAAGGCGUAACGAUUUGGGCGCUGUCUCAGCUGUAGACUCGGUGAAGUCUUAGUACCUGUGAAGAUGCAGGUUACCCGCGACUAGACGGAAAGACCCCAUGGAGCUUCACUGCAGGUUGAUAUUGGGAUUUGAUGCAGCAUGUACAGGAUAGGUAGGAGGCAAAGAGAUGGAUACGCCAGUAUUCAAGGAGCCGCUGUUGGGAUACUACCCCUGUUGUAUUGGAUUUCUAACCGGACGACGUAGAGCCGUUGACGGGACAGUGUCAGUCGGGCAGUUUGACUGGGGCGGUCGCCUCCCAAAGAGUAACGGAGGCGCCCAAAGAUACCCUCAGCUUGGAUGGAAACCAAGCGCAGAGUGCAAAGGCAAAAGGGUGUUUGACUGCGAGACCCACAAGUCGAGCAGGGACGAAAGUCGGGCUUAGUGAUCCGGCGGU
This 1748-nucleotide ribosomal RNA is filed under the name human gut metagenome. RNAcentral describes it as "bacterial LSU rRNA". It matches the Rfam family "Bacterial large subunit ribosomal RNA", at positions 661 to 2427 of the family's 2925-position model. The record is from RNAcentral.